Triticum aestivum (bread wheat) is the source of this 3450-nucleotide long non-coding RNA. RefSeq lists it as uncharacterized. The record is from RefSeq and is a predicted model, not a curated record. Lineage: Eukaryota; Viridiplantae; Streptophyta; Magnoliopsida; Poales; Poaceae. The transcript has 4 exons.
UCCCACCCACCCUGAUCCAUCCCCUCCCCUCGUCUCUCGCAUUGCCGCCGCCACCCACUCACCGCCCCGUCUCUCCCACAUCCGCCGGCAGCCUCUCCCCUCCCAUCCGCUUCCCACACACCUCAGGCGGACCCCCACCCAUCCAUCUCUCUCUCCCGCAACUUUUCUCUCUCUCCCGGGACACAUCUCUGCCGCCAUAGAUGCCGGCCGAUUCCGGUGUUCUCCGAUGCCGGUACAGAGGAGAGGAUGAGGGGGGCGGCUCGCCGUUCGCCGCUCGCCCGCCCAAUCCCGCCGCGGCCUGGAGAGAUCCACCGUCCCACCGACCGACCCCGCCGGCGUGCCGCGGUUUGGGUGGCCGAAAUCGAGGCCAUCCUCUCCCUCCCUCGCGGGUCCAGUUCACACCGUUUCUUCCCCGGGCGCGGCACCCGGCGGAGGCCCCGAUCUGUAUCCAUCCGUCUCACCCCGCAUAGCACCCGGUGCCGCCCGGUGCGUACCGCCGUCGGUGUUCCCCGCGCCGACGCCGGCAGCACCCCACCCCACUGGAUCGCUCCGCCGGCCACCACCGCCAGCCCCGCCUCCCGCCCACGGCCGCGGUCCCCAUCGUGCGAGGUCAAUCUCGCUCGGUACCUUUCGUUCUCCUUCUGCUCGCCUAGUUUAACUGUCGGACUGCUCUAUCUGCCUGCCUGCCUGCGUUUACUGCUUGUUCUUUACAUCUCUCUGUUUUUGUUAGCUGUGUAGUUCUAGUGUGUAGACAAUGAUAAAUCCUUAACCUGUGCAGUGGUCAUUAGCUUCCGUGGCUCGUGGUCCAAAUGCAGAAGCACCCUCCCUACAAUCUGUGAACAUGCAGGGAAUAAGUGGAACCACCCAUGCUAGUUUCCUCUAAUCCAAAAAGGGGAACAUUAGUUUCCAUACCCGCGUCGCACUAGUUUUCUGUUAAUCGGCAGCCGUUAGCGAUUGGUCACCGUGCUGCUACUCGUGUAUUUGUUAAGCAGCGGUCUCUUACUACUCUUUGUGUAGCUCUGCUGCUCGGUCAUCGCUACCUAGAGUAGAAAACAGGGGUUGGCAUGAUCUAGGGACACACUAUGGUUUUCAGGUGGGGAGAAUGAAAAUCCCAGAGAAGGGAUGAUAUCGCUUAGAUGGACAACCACUGAAUCCUGAUUAAGCAUUUCUCUUGCUGGCAAAAUGCUGAAUUGCAUCAUGUAUAACGGCAGCACAUCCUUAUGUCCUACUCUUCAAGGUGUCAUAUAACAUACUACCUACCUUCCUAAGCUUUAAGUUCUGAUAGGGUGCUGCAAGUUAUAGGAAACUUAAGCUUUAAGAGUGCCUUUUUAUGCUGAUAGAUAGGAUAUGAUUUCUGAAAUGUUUAUGCGGAUAUAUAGGAUAUGAUCUCUGAAAUGUUUAUGCUGAUAGGAUAUGAACAUGAAUGUUGAUUUGUGAAAUGUUAUGCUGAUAGGAUAUGAGCAUGGAUGUUGAUUUGUGAACUGUUUGUGCUGGUUGGAUAGGAUAUGAGCAUGGAUCUUGAUUUGUGAAAUGUUUAUGCUGAUAGGAUAUGAGCGGCUGCAGGCGGAUGCUGGAGUGCUCUAGCGUCUCGUUGCAAGAACCGGAACCAGCACCGCUUUGCUGCCUACUACCAGUGCCCCUCAAGGUGAGGAGGGACCUGAAGCUGCUGCACGGUGUCAAUCUCGCCGAGGUCAUCAACGCCUACCUCUGUGCUUUAAAUCAUUGCCUGCUGCAAGCUGGCCAGCACAAUCCUUGUUCCAAACAGUUUUUUUCGCAGACCCGAUGAUGCCAUGAUGCUUACCUUGCUGGAGCGCAUCAACCUCGACCAUGUUACAUGUAGAGAUGAUUCAUGAUUUAGUCCCUAGAUGAUUUCUAUAUUUGCUAUACCGGUGUCGUUUGGAAGCCUAACUCACCUGCGGCAAAACGGUAGCAGUGCCAUGAAGCAGCUCUGUUUCUUGUUCUCUACUCUGCUUUGAACUGAACUUAUUUCAGUUAGCAACUGUAUACUAAAUUUGAGAGUAUGGGUGCUUGCUUGUGAAUUGUGAUGUUGUUCCCAUCACAUUAGAUUAGGUUAAUUACAUCCAAAAGUAUAGUAGCUUCUGUCCAAGUGCUCUUCAUCUUGUGUGUCAUCUCCAAGGCAAUCAAGUCAAUUAGAUGUUGUUCUAUUCAUGUUCUGCCCAACCUGAAGAAAUAUAGGCUUAUGAUGACUAUUUUCCUUCUGAAGUAAUCAUGGUUGUUGGCUUCGGUAGCUUGCUGAAUAUGCUUUAGUUAUAUAUAGAAAUGAUGUGUUUUCUAUGCUUAAAUGAUUGUUUGGCUCUAUAUAAUUGUUGACAUGAAUAUCUUGACUUCCCAAACAAGUAUAGGACUAUACCUAUGCAUACAGAUUAUCCUAACAAAACUGAAAAUAAAAAUUGAAGCAUGAAAUAAGCAAUAAGUGGCUGAUUUUUAUUUGCAUGUUAAGCGGAAAGUUUUAGCCAGGGCUUAUAUAUUACGAAAUAUUGUCACACCUCUCAGCUUCUAAUAUUGUUAGGGACAUUGUAGUGUGAUCUUCAUGAUUUUUCGCUUGACGAUGUACUGAUUCAUUAGUCAAGCAUAGACCGAAGUCAUCUUUUGCUACUGCUAGCUCUAUGCAUGUUUAUUUACCUGCAACUUCUGCCAGCUCUAACUUGAUUAUAUAACAGUUCAAUUCAAUCAAUCUGUUCGAACUAGUUUGUCUAUUACUUGUACCCAGAUUUUAUAUCCUGCCCUGCCAUUGUCGACUUGCUUAGGUACAUAAUUGUUAUGUCUUGCAAUCUGGUAUUGAUGAUUGUCAAUGUAUUCAUUUAUACCUUUCUAGUGUACCUUGUAUGUGACCCAACUGAUAUGUAUAUCAAUGCUCUGUUUCUAAUAGAUGUAUGUUGAUGCCUGAUGGCUGAUUCCUUAAAACUUCACUGUUGCAGUAGCAUUUUUCCUUAGUGCAUAGAUGUAUGAGCGAUCACUUAUGCUUCAAACCUUGCUCUCUUUCCCAGGAACCAUCGUGGUCUGCGUCACUACUGGGGCAGGAGAGGAAAGACUGUUGGUGUCUCCAGGAAGCGAUAAACUGCUUCACAAAGAUCCCCGCAUAGCUUCACUACUACCUUGGAGCUCCACAUCCGAGUUUCAGCCAUCCUCUACAGCCAGGAGCAAGCAGCGCUACUAGUUCCUUGAGGCCAGAUCGAGUAAGAUGGCGCACCAUGGCGUGUGGUGGCAUAUUUUGCUUCCGAGAACAGUACUAUUUAUUUGAAGUGAGAUGUACUCGUCUAGUGCCUGACAAAAAAAUGAAGGAUGAAGUGUAAUGUACUGUCUAUGUUGUAGUGAGCUGUAGUAGGAGUGAAAUGAAAAUGUAUCUGCUGUUGUAUGUGCUAUUUCCCUGUGAUGUAUGGUGUACAUUUUACUUGAACAUUAAAUUCUCCAGAAAAAAUGUUCUUACUA